This 305-nucleotide ribosomal RNA is filed under the name uncultured bacterium. RNAcentral describes it as "bacterial SSU rRNA". It matches the Rfam family "Bacterial small subunit ribosomal RNA", at positions 335 to 656 of the family's 1533-position model. The record is from RNAcentral.
UCCCCUACGGGGCGCAGCAGUGGGGAAUAUUGCACAAUGGGGGGAACCCUGAUGCAGCGACGCCGCGUGAGUGAAGAAGUAUUUCGGUAUGUAAAGCUCUGUCAGCAGGGAAGAAGAAAGACGGUACCUGACCAAGAAGCCCCGGCUAACUACGUGCCAGCAGCCGCGGUAAUACGUAGGGGGCAAGCGUUAUCCGGAUUUACUGGGUGUAAAGGGAGCGUAGACGGUCCUGCAAGCCAGAUGUGAAAGCCCGGGGCUCAACCCCGGGACUGCAUUUGGAACUGUAAGGCUAGAGUGUCGGAGAG